UGCCUGGGGAGCAGGGUGCUGAGCUGGGGUUGGUGAGCGGCUCCUGGGGGUGUUUGCCAUGCAGCUGUUUGCCUAAAAAUGCAGAUAUAUGUAUAAAAAGUGCUCUUUCCAACAUGAAAACUUGGCAGUAGGGCAUGCCACCCACUUUGAGCGCCGGAUGUGCAGCACUUAGAGUCCUCUGAGGCCGUUAAGUGAAGGCUGGGAUGGAAGUGCUCUGCCAGCCUGUGCUGAACCUAUUUGAGAUGAGAGUUUCACCGAAACCAACAGGAGAGAGCUUGGCUGUACCCUGGCUUCCUAUCGGGAUGGGCUUUUAACCCUUAACUACCUAUGGUGUUGUGGGACAGCAAAUAAUCCAGCAGGGAAACCUGGGCUUUGUAAGCCAAGGGCAUGGUGCACAGUGGUUGCCAAGAGUGCAAUCUGUGCUUAUUAUCUCCAUAAUAUACAUCAUCUGAUUCACUGCCAGUGCUUGCUUCCGCCUCUCUGCUGUGCUACGCCCCCCUCCACCCCCCUUCCUGCUCACACAGAGAUAAGAUGUGUUGUUAUAACUGCAAAUGGGGCCCGUGGGACCGUUCCCGAAGCCUUGGCAGCAAAUCGCCCCUCGUCUCUGCAGAUUGCCUUUGACAUCUUUGGAGUUUAAGAUGUAAAAUAAAUAUUUACAUAUAUAUAUAUAUGCACAUAUAAAAUAAAUGUAUAAAAUAUAUGCAAAAUAAAGUAACAGUUGCCUUGCCUUGCAAGUCAGGGAGAAAAAGAAAAUACCAACCAUUUUAUGCAGGACAUAUGGCAUGGUGACAAAACAUUAGGGUUUCCUGUGCAUAGUUUCUACUAUUUCCUCUGCACACUUGGUGCAGUCUCUGGAAGCUUGCACGAGUAGAGGUUGAUCUUUUGGGUUAAUGUCAGUUGGUCCUGAUUUUUGUUUCCGGUAUGGGUUGUAUUGACAGGAAUCCUGAAUUUGUGUUUUAUUUUCCAUCUUCCUGCACAGCAUCCAGCACAGCUGGCUGGGAGCCCUUGGGCACACUUUGCUGCAGCAGUUCCUGGUCUUUGAGGCUGUGAUGGUGCCAGUAUGUGACAACUGCGUGAGCUUGCAGAAGAACCAGUUCUGCUCAGCUUUGGCUUUUGAAGAGAAGAAAUGAUUGCUGGAGAAGCUCAGCUGGGCAGCAGGCUGCUGCAUUGGGCUGCUGCGUUGGGCAUGGUGUAGGAAACGAAACACACCACGGUGUGGGAUUGCUGCCCUGGGCGAUGGGAGAACUUGGCUUUAAAAGAAAAGCAGAGAUUUCUUUUCCCCCAUCCAUUUGUGCAGAAAAACCCUCUGAGCGGGGCGUGAUUUCCUCCCUUGGCUGAGAUCACCUGCCUCUGGCUCUCAGCUACCAGCAGCCCGGGUGUCCAAAAUAAGAUGUGGGCACUCAUUGUGGUUGCUGGGCAAAGCUUGCUCUUCCUCAGACCCAGCCCAGGAGUAUGUUGGGGUGUGGUGUGGUGCAGAGGGUGCUCUGUAAGACGUGGGCACUUUGGGCUGGAGGGCUGGGAGCAGCCUGUGGGAUGGGAAGGAGUACACAGCCAUGGACGACCUCAAUGGGACAGAAGGCCUCCCAGACCCUGCAUUGAGGAGAAUGAGCUCAAGCUGGAGGAAGGGCAGCUCUCACCUGCAGAGGCCUCUUCUGAAAAGAAGGGUGCCCCAAGAGUAGGGCCUAAAAUGGGUGAAUCUGCCACUAACUGUCCAUUCCCCAGAGGAAUCAGAAAGAAGUCAGGAUUUUGUUUUCUUUCUGCUUUCAAACUCCAUUGGGAUUUUGUGUGUAGCCCCACUAAGUUAAUGAACACAGAUGGGUGCCAAUAGGAGUUUACUUUGUGGCUAGGGAUUCAGGAAGAGCUCCAGAGCAGACAAUCCUCCCACCAUUUGCAUCGAAUCAUAGGCUCUUAGAGCCAUUAUGGUUGGAAAAGACCUCUAAGAUCAUCCAGUCCAACCCAGCCCACCCCCACCAUGCCCACUGACUACGUCCCUCAGUGCCACAUCUCUAAGGACGGUGACUCCACCACCUCCAUCACCACUCUUUCUGAGAAGAAGUAUUUCCUCAUAUCCAGGCUGAACGCUGACCUGCAUGGAGCCACCACAUCUUCAGCAGCUCUCCUACUGCAGCUUCUUUUUGUAAUGAAAAACUAUGGGAUUUGCAAAGGAAGAUGAGACUGUCUUCUAUCUGAGCAACAUACUGUAGCAAAUCUGUGGUAGCUCAGUGUUCACCAAGUGGAGAGCACCAGGGCUCCCAGACAGGAGGAUGGAGCUCACUACAUCAAGCACAGCAAGCCAGGAGCUUCUUGAAUUGCUUCUGUUCUGCUGAGACUGGAAUUUGUUGGAGGCUCACCUGUGCUGACAUGACCUUGUGUAGCAGAAAUGCUAAAUCACAGCUUGAAGCAGUGAUUGAGCACCUGGUGGGAAGGCAGGGCCAACCCAGGGGAGCUCAGGUGUGUGCAAUGCAGCUGAGUGACCGGAAUGGGUGAAGCCAGGAUCCACCCCUUUCCAGACCUCAUUUAAGGGUUGGCAGUGAAGGCAAGGGUAUCUUCCUGGAGAUCCCUGCAUAUCUGAGGCCUUUUGAAGGUAGAUGCGCAGUACCAAACACAUGGGACCUGAGUUCUGGCCUGGGUUCGCAGCAGUGGGAACCAUGAUGUCAUUACGAGUUGGAAACCUUGUGCAGUGCUCGGCAUGGAACGGGUGGGGGGACUGAUGGGUUAGUCAGCAUGGAGCUGAGGCAGCGACAGAUUUACUGCUCCUUACACUUCCAUACGACUGAGGGAGAGGAAGCCUUGCCCAGCAUGAAGGUAUCCAUCGGGGGUUACAAGGUCAGCAUUCAAGAUGUUGGGUUACGUUCCAGGCCAAAAGCGAAAUGAUGAGUGACAUGGCCCACUGUCAUCGGAAUAUAUCAUCGUGAUCUUGUGCUAUUUCUGAUUGGUGCAGAAGCAGGAAAUUCCAGCAGUCUCCCAAGCAAGCUCUCUCCUCUGGGAUUCUGUCUGUGCUGGCAUCCCUGUCAGGGCUGGGAGGUCCCUGAGUGAUUGCACCUGGACGUGUGUUACCUGCUGCUUCUCCACCCUUGAGAUGUAUGAUCACAUCAGGACAACUGGUCAGGAUGUGCUACAGAGCAGCAUUUUUAGUCUCCUUGACUUAGCAGAAAUGACAGAUGGCUGCGGCUGGGAUGGAGCCGUUCCUUUCCCUGCUCAGAAGAGGGCAAUCAGCAAAACCUCAGGGCAGCUCCAAGGGACAUGAGAGUCUUGCUUUACACACGCACAGAGCAGCCCUGGAAGGAGUGAAAUGAAGAACUGUCAAGGAAAGUUGGAGGAGUUGUGCUGUCCCAAGCGUGCAGGCACGGUGCUUGUAAAACCACAGGGUGUGAGCGUGGUAUUAGCAAGCCUUUGUGUCAUCUCCAGGGGAGAGCUGAGUCCCAUUGAAGGCAGAGGACAGACGUCAUUCAGAGGUGAGGUUAAGUCAGUCCUGGGCACGUUCAGAGCUCCUAACCACAGCUGGGGCUGAAACUUCUCUUCCAAAACUUUUUCUUUCAUUUAAAACAAAAAUAAUAAUAAUUAAAAAAAAAAAAAUUAAUGAGAUACAAAUUUCUCUGGAAUGUAUCUGCUAUUUUCUAAAACCAUCCAUGCUCUGUCAGUAACUCAAAGCCAGAGCAUCGUGGCUGAACAAAACAUUUGAGAAGCUUUUCAGUUGAAAAGAUGUAUGUUUUGGAAUUGAAAAUCCUUUUUUAUGGCUUUCAUUUUUAUGGGAACACUGGAAAAUUUCUGACUGGUAAGCUUUUUAUUCUCAGAAGCCAAGUACUAUUUUCUGAAACAGACGUUUCUGCGCUUUUUUCCUCGUGUAUUUUUUCCUCCCUUUUGCAGCUCAGAGCAUUUCCCUCUGCUUGCUGGACUCCUGCUUGAAAACCAAGUGUGAGAUAUGAGUGCUGUGCUGUAAGCUUGUCGCCUGGCUCGCCGCGUUGGGCCUGCUGAGCAAUCAGCCAGGCUGGCACUCGGGGCUGAUUGCAGCCACAGAAAUGGAAGCUAUUUAGAAUCAUAGAAUCAUUAUGGUUGGAAAAGACCUCUAAGAUCACCCAGUCAAACCAUUCACCUGUAUGUAUACAAAUAUACUGCCAGUACUACCUACUAAGCGUGUCCCUCACUACCACAUCUUCAUGUUUCUGGUUCUGGGCCUGUGCUGCUCUGCUAGGCCUGCUGGGAGCAGGCCAGCUCUUGCUGUGGUUCAAUGAGUUUAACUAAGCUGCUCUGUGUGGGGAAGGGGUUGGUUGGAGGGGUUUGCCAUGGGGGUUGGUUGGUGAUGCUUCCUGGCUCAGUUCUCUUAACCGUAGUGGUGUUACACUCAGUCUGAUGCAAGUGUGAAGCUGUGGCUUCAAAUGUGUUAUUUUGAUGUCUUUGACACAACAGAACAUGCUCACCUUGCACACCACAACAAUUUAGACUAAUUCCAGUGAAGAAGAGAUGGG
RNAcentral lists this long non-coding RNA (4466 nucleotides) under Gallus gallus (chicken). Its description in RNAcentral is "lncRNA (ENSGALG00010030063.1)". Lineage: Eukaryota; Metazoa; Chordata; Aves; Galliformes; Phasianidae. The record is from RNAcentral.